UACGAAGGGGGCUAGCGUUGUUCGGAUUUACUGGGCGUAAAGCGCAUGUAGGCGGGCCGUUAAGUUGGGGGUGAAAGCCCGGAGCUCAACUCCGGAAUUGCCUUCAAAACUGGCGGCCUGGAGCAAGAUAGAGGCGAGUGGAAUUCCGAGUGUAGAGGUGAAAUUCGUAGAUAUUCGGAGGAACACCAGUGGCGAAGGCGACUCGCUGGAUCUUUGCUGACGCUGAGAUGCGAAAGCGUGGGGAGCAAACAGG
RNAcentral lists this ribosomal RNA (253 nucleotides) under uncultured bacterium. RNAcentral's name for it is "partial 16S ribosomal RNA". It matches the Rfam family "Bacterial small subunit ribosomal RNA", at positions 524 to 776 of the family's 1533-position model. The record is from RNAcentral.